This 143-nucleotide small RNA is filed under the name Streptomyces natalensis. RNAcentral's name for it is "c-di-AMP sequence". It matches the Rfam family "c-di-AMP riboswitch aptamer (ydaO/yuaA leader)". Rfam says of the family: This family represents a conserved RNA structure found upstream of the ydaO and yuaA genes in Bacillus subtilis and related genes in other bacteria. The ydaO/yuaA element is thought to act as a genetic "off" switch for the ydaO and yuaA genes in its native state. The record is from RNAcentral. Lineage: Bacteria; Bacillati; Actinomycetota; Actinomycetes; Kitasatosporales; Streptomycetaceae.
CCGCACGACGUGCCUGAACUGCACCGAGGAACCGGGGAACCACCACCUUGGGGUGAAUCGGGCGCCUUUCGCCGAAGCCGUCCGUAGGAGACCUUCCUGCUCCGAACCCGUCAGCUAACCCGGUAGGCGCGAAGGAAGGAAAG